GCUGGGUGCAGUGGUGCAGGCCUGUAAUCCCAGCAGCUUGGGAGGCUGAGGCAGAAGAAUCAUGAGUUCAAAGCCAGCCUCUGCAACUCAGUGAGGCACUUAGCAACACGGUGAGACCCUGCCUCUA
Molecule: small RNA, 127 nt
Filed under: Marmota monax (woodchuck)
Lineage: Eukaryota; Metazoa; Chordata; Mammalia; Rodentia; Sciuridae
Source: RNAcentral